Molecule: long non-coding RNA, 2477 nt
Organism: Gallus gallus (chicken)
Lineage: Eukaryota; Metazoa; Chordata; Aves; Galliformes; Phasianidae
Exons: 3
Source: RefSeq, a predicted model, not a curated record
CAGGUGGCUCAGGACGUGGUUACUCAGUCCUUUUGCUGCAGGUGCCUGGCCAAUAUUACUAGGGAUGAAAUUGCUUUUGGUGUACUCUGUCCUUUGCUCUGCAGGUGACUGAGGAAACAAAUUACCAAGUAAUUUUAGGUGCAUGUGAAAACGAAGCAACUCUGAAGUCAGUGUGCUGCCUUGCAAGUACAAAGAAUGAGCAAUAAUACUUUGUCUUCACCACCCUACUGCAGCAUGCAGUCCCAGGUAAUCAGAUAAAAGGGAUGGACCCCAUGUGGAUUCGGCACUGUGACUGCAGCCUGCCUGGAGGUAUCUUCUGCUCCUCACCAAGCCAGCAGUGCGUGUCUGACUGAAGAAAGAAGUCCUCAGAUUGUGUUGGCCCUUGGACUCCUGCUGACAAUCUCAGCUGGCUCCUGGCUUGCUUGCAGAUCUGGAGUCUUACAGUCAGUCUGGCCACAUGCAGAGGCUCCGUGCAUCCAGGAAGGAGAAGAUAUAUAAGGACAGCACUCUAGGAAGCUUCCUGGUAAAAUCUAGAGCUUCAAUGAGAAUAUGAUCCUGUAGCUGCUUGGCACAGAAUUUCUGCUGUGACAGGGAGCAGAGCUCCAACCGGUCCACCAGGAUCUUCUGCCUCUGACCAUCUCUCCACUUGGCUUCAUUCGUGAAAAGAGGGAGGGAGACACAGAUGUGUGUUUACAGGAUUGGGUCCUACGUUGACUGCUCUUUUCUUAGCUAUCCUCACCCUUUAUAAGGCACCCAAAACUGCGGUAUUGAGUGCCUCGCAGUUUGUGACCUAUUUAUUCCCACAGUCUCCACAAGAGAGAAAUCCCCACUGCCUUGCAAAGAAGCAAAGAGAGACUGUCUGUUGCCUGCAUCUCCCAAGGAAAAUGUGACACAGACGUGGCAGCACAGUAACAGAUUUUUCAUGGCAUUUCCCUGCUUAUGACGGAUAUCUACAGAGGAGGAGGAAAACAGUUGGACCUCACUGUGGGAAGAAAUGAGCACUUAACCACACAAGCACAUAUCGCUUGAUACAGCAACAACAACAGCACUGCACUGAGCAGAGUGGGACCAAGCUGUGUAAACAGGGUGGGAGCAACGGUAGCUGUACCUGGUGUUUAGCCUAUGUUGACAGCAUGGGAUGGAAAGGGCCCUGUCAGCAGGAAUCUCCUGGAGGAGACGUGGCAGAGGACCAUUUAGUCAGCACCAACAGGAAUCCCCAGUGGGAACAGUUGGGAGUGGAAUGGUACAGAGGAGGGUGGACUUCCAGAGUCAGAGUGCAAAUACCUAGCACAGCGAGAGCGGCUGUGACCCAAACCUUCCUUAAAAAGGGCAAGCUGAUUAAGAGCCGGGCCUGUCUAGGGAAUGCUGCCUCCCCCUGCUUCUUUCUUUCACACAUUAGCCAUACCUUUAACACACAUUCCUCUUUGUGUUUCUUGAAAUCAGCUUCAAACAGCUAACAACAUGCUCUCCAUGGGUCAAAUCACAGUACAGUUAUUUCUGCAUUUAACCCCAGGGGCAUUAGAACACUAUAUUUAAACAUGGUCUCUGCAAAUUUAAAAGAGCAGUAAGAAAAAAACCCAUGCAACACUCUCUAUAUGUUUGUAUGUAGAUGCGCAUAUAUAUAUAUGUUUAUGAAGAGCGGGGGUAGGGUCAAUGCCUUGUGUUUAAGAUAAAAAAGAGUAAUGCUCAGCACAGAGGUCCUGGGAGACGUUCCAAGAGGCAGCAGGCACAGAGAAGAAAAGUUAAGGACAGCUACAAGGAAGAAUCAUUGCGAUGAGCUGCUCUUCUUUUGUCCUAUGUGAUGUGCUGGGGACAGAGAAGCUGCUGGGCCUGCAGUUUCCCUCCUCUCCGAGCUGCUUCCCUGGGCCUUGGCUGUUCCCAGCAAGGAGCACCUUGCUUGCAGGAGCCUGUGAGCUUUGUGGAGGUGGCUGUGUAUUUCAGCAGGGAAAAGUGGUGUUCCACAGGAUAAGAUCGUGUAAACGAGUUCAACUCGUUACAGUCAAUGUUCCGGAUCUGUGGACCGCUGUUUCUGGGUGCUUCUUUCUUGGGGCGGCGAGGCUGCAUUCCCCAGAGGAGUUUGCACCCAGAGGAAGAGAGGUGGAGCUCCUGGCAGAGGAUCUCUCUUUGGUCGCUGUCGAGGAGCAUGCGGUCCCUUGCCGCUUUUCGCCUGCAGCUUUCGAGGAAGGGCCUCGGUUUGGGCACUGUCUCUCUCAUUUUGGUUGAUUUGUUGGCCUCAGUUCCAAUUGGACUGUGUCAUAUUGUGUUAUCUUGCAUUCUGAUAUCAUCCUUAGUAAAGGAAUGUUCCUUCUCAGAUCGCUGCCGCUGUUCUGUUUGUAGAUCCAUCUGCUAUCUCCCUACCCUUUCCCCUUCUCCCUUUCCCCCUUUCUCGGGGCGUGGGUCUGUGGGUCUCCUGCCUCACCAGUCACGGGGCUGGGCUGGGCUGGGCUGGCCUGUAAACUGUGGACGCUUUUUUUUUU